RNAcentral lists this ribosomal RNA (261 nucleotides) under uncultured archaeon. RNAcentral describes it as "partial 16S ribosomal RNA". It matches the Rfam family "Archaeal small subunit ribosomal RNA", at positions 748 to 1009 of the family's 1478-position model. The record is from RNAcentral.
CAGCCGUAAACAAUGUGCGUUAGAUGUGUCGGUAACCACGUGUUACUGAUGCGCCGAAGAGAAAUCGUGAAACGCACCACCUGGGAAGUACGGUCGCAAGGCUGAAACUUAAAGGAAUUGGCGGGGGAGCACCACAACAGGUGGAGCCUGCGGUUUAAUUGGACUCAACGCCGGGAAGCUCACCGGAUAGGACAGCAGAAUGAUUGCCGGGCUGAAGACCCUGCAUGACUAGCUGAGAGGUGGUGCAUGGCGUAGACGUCU